Molecule: transfer RNA, 71 nt
Filed under: Neotoma lepida (desert woodrat)
Lineage: Eukaryota; Metazoa; Chordata; Mammalia; Rodentia; Cricetidae
Rfam family: tRNA
About the family: Transfer RNA (tRNA) molecules are approximately 80 nucleotides in length. Their secondary structure includes four short double-helical elements and three loops (D, anti-codon, and T loops).
Source: Rfam by way of RNAcentral
UGUGGAUAGCUCAGUGGUAGAGCAUUUGUUUAGCAUGCACAUGGCUCUGGGUUCAAUCCCCAGUACCAUAU